Rhineura floridana is the source of this 626-nucleotide long non-coding RNA. RefSeq lists it as uncharacterized. The transcript has 3 exons. NCBI's taxonomy places the organism in Eukaryota, Metazoa, Chordata, Lepidosauria, Squamata, Rhineuridae. The record is from RefSeq and is a predicted model, not a curated record.
UCACAAGGAUGAGGAGAGCGGGGAGGUGCUAAUCGAUCCCCGCUUAAUGAAUACGCUUGUUCAGAAGUCGCCGCAGAACCCGUCGUUUUCUGUCGAAGUUAUGAGACUUGGGGAGAUAGAUGGGCGACUACGGCGAGGGGUAGCGGAAGAGACCGAGUACAGCAGUAGCAGCUCCAGAGGAGGGUACAACUGGAGGAGAUGGAGAUGAACCUGAACCAGGGCUGUCACAAGAACAUGGUCCCUGUAAGCAUUGCCCAAAGAUGAAGGCAGUGUCUACCCAAAUGGAGUUAUCAUCCACAGUGGGGACACAGACCACUUCGGUGGAGGAUCUCUCUUUGCCAAUGUAAUGGCACAGGAAGACAUCUACGAGAUCCAUCUUCGUUUAUGUGAUCCUGAAGAACAACUCAAUCUAUGAUAUCCUGGGACAAAAGUCUAGAUUUUUCUUUUUUAAAAUUUAAAGGUGGAUGCCAUGUUUUCUUUCUCUAAUGUUUACAAAUAUUUUUAUUUUGAAAAUUUAAAGUACAUUUCUUAUUUUAAAAAAUGAAAUUAUUUAAUGAAAAUUAACUAAGGAAACAUGUUCUGGAUCGUUGUUUUCAUAAGUAAAUCACAACUUCUGAAUGUUGAAA